GCGCAGGUGGUGGAACUGGUAGACACGCAGCCUUGAGGUGGCUGUGCCGUGAGGCGUGAGGGUUCGAGUCCCUCCCUGCGCA
This 82-nucleotide transfer RNA is filed under the name Myxococcales bacterium. RNAcentral describes it as "tRNA-Leu". It matches the Rfam family "tRNA". From Rfam's summary of the family: Transfer RNA (tRNA) molecules are approximately 80 nucleotides in length. Their secondary structure includes four short double-helical elements and three loops (D, anti-codon, and T loops). Further hydrogen bonds mediate the characteristic L-shaped molecular structure. tRNAs have two regions of fundamental functional importance: the anti-codon, which is responsible for specific mRNA codon recognition, and the 3' end, to which the tRNAs corresponding amino acid is attached (by aminoacyl-tRNA synthetases). tRNAs cope with the degeneracy of the genetic code in two manners: having more than one tRNA (with a specific anti-codon) for a particular amino acid; and 'wobble' base-pairing, i.e. permitting non-standard base-pairing at the 3rd anti-codon position. RNAcentral also lists the same sequence under 1 other name. The record is from RNAcentral. Lineage: Bacteria; Pseudomonadati; Myxococcota; Myxococcia; Myxococcales.